GUUGUUUUGGACUAAGUGUGUGCCCCUAAUACAAUCAACCAAAGUUGAACAUGGUAGAAAAUACGCCUAUGGGCGCAGAAAGGCAUUGUUCUGGAUUAUGGGCCAUGGAGAUGGAAGGUACUGUUCCUGAUCUGAAGGAAUUCAUAUCAAGGAGCGAAGAAGGAAACAAAUAAUUAUGAUGCUCUUGACAGAAAAAGGAGGCAUAAGGAGUAAAAUGGCACAGGGCUAGACCACCUGGUUUCUAGUUCAUGUUAUGCUGUUAAUAAGUGAUGGAACUUCUAGCAAAGCACUGAACCACCUGGGUCUCAGGUACUAUAGAUCUUUCACAAAUGGGAAGGGGGCCAAGAGAUGAAGAUGGGGGGCAUAAAAAAAAUGAAGUUGGGGGCCGUGGAUUUAGCUCAGUGGUUUCACCGUCUGCUGCUCAAGCGCAAGGACCUGAGUUCGAUCCCUGGUACCAAAAAAAAAAAAAAAAGAAUGAAGAUGUGUUUUGUUACGUACCACCUCCCCAUGAUGAAUGUAAUCAUUGUGUACUGCAAACAUACUAAUACAAAUUUUAAGAGGACCAAUGUAAAC
RNAcentral lists this long non-coding RNA (573 nucleotides) under Heterocephalus glaber (naked mole-rat). RNAcentral's name for it is "lncRNA (ENSHGLG00000045224.1)". Lineage: Eukaryota; Metazoa; Chordata; Mammalia; Rodentia; Bathyergidae. The record is from RNAcentral.